UGACGGUACCUGUAGAAGAAGCCCCGGCUAACUUCGUGCCAGCAGCCGCGGUAAUACGAAGGGGGCUAGCGUUGCUCGGAAUUACUGGGCGUAAAGGGCGCGUAGGCGGCUUAGUCAGUCAGGCGUGAAAUUCCUGGGCUUAACCUGGGGUCUGCGUUUGAGACGGCUAGGCUAGAGGGUAGGAGAGGGUCGUGGAAUUCCCAGUGUAGAGGUGAAAUUCGUAGAUAUUGGGAAGAACACCGGUGGCGAAGGCGGCGACCUGGCCUAUUACUGACGCUGAGGCGCGACAGCGUGGGGAGCAAACAGGAUUAGAUACCCUGGUAGUCCACGCCGUAAACGAUGUGCGCUGGAUGUUGGGGCCCAUAGGGUCUCAGUGUCGUAGCUAACGCGGUAAGCGCACCGCCUGGGGAGUACGGCCGCAAGGUUGAAACUCAAANGAAUUGAC
Molecule: ribosomal RNA, 445 nt
Filed under: uncultured bacterium
Lineage: Bacteria
Description: bacterial SSU rRNA
Rfam family: Bacterial small subunit ribosomal RNA
Source: RNAcentral